GAUAAGUAAUGUGAAUUGCAGAAUUCAGUGAAUCAUUGAAUCUUUGAACGCACCUUGCGCCUCUUGGUAUUCCGAGAGGCAUGCCUGUUUGAGUGUCAUGAAACAUCAAUCCCCGAGGGUUUUUCUUGAACCCUCGGUGGACUGGACCUGGGCGUCUGCCUGACAAGGCUCGCCUCAAAUGACUCAGUGGGAACUUCUUGACCUAUGCCUGACGUGAUAAGUUUCGUCUCGUCCGGUCUCGAGGCCCGCUCACAACAACCCAUAUCUUUUGACAUUGACCUCAAAUCAGGUAGGGCUACCCGCUGAACUUAAGCAUAUCAAUAAGCGGAGGAAAAGAAACUAACAAGGAUUCCCCUAGUAACGGCGAGUGAACAGGGAAGAGCUCAAAUUUGUAAUCGGGCGUCCCUUGGGCGUCCGAGUUGUAAUCUAUAGAAGCGUUUUCCGUGCUGGACCAUGUCCAAGUCCCUUGGAACAGGGUAUCAAAGAGGGUGACAAUCCCGUGCUUGACAUGACGACCAGUGCUCUGUGAUACGCUCUCUCCGAGUCGAGUUGUUUGGGAAUGCAGCUCAAAAUGGGUGGUGAGUUCCAUCUAAAGCUAAAUAUUGGCGAGAGACCGAUAGCGAACAAGUACCGUGAGGGAAAGAUGAAAAGCACUUUGGAAAGAGAGUUAAACAGUACGUGAAAUUGUUGAAAGGGAAACGAUUGAAGUCAGUCGUGUCCGAGGGGUUCAGCCGGUCAUGCCGGUGUAUUCCCCUCGGAUGGGUCAACGUCAGUUUGGACCGGUGGAAAAGGGCAGUUGGAAGGUGGCAGCUCCGGCUGUGUUAUAGCCUUCUGUCGCACACGCCGGUCUAGACUGAGGCAUGCAGCUCGCCCUCGUGGCGGGGUUCUCCCACAUCGAGCUAGGA
This 905-nucleotide ribosomal RNA is filed under the name Kockovaella mexicana. RNAcentral's name for it is "LSU rRNA". The stretch from base 276 to 905 matches the Rfam family "Eukaryotic large subunit ribosomal RNA", at positions 1 to 618 of the family's 3401-position model. The record is from RNAcentral. Lineage: Eukaryota; Fungi; Basidiomycota; Tremellomycetes; Tremellales; Cuniculitremaceae.